This 392-nucleotide unclassified non-coding RNA is filed under the name soil metagenome. Its description in RNAcentral is "partial contains 5.8S ribosomal RNA, internal transcribed spacer 2, and large subunit ribosomal RNA". The stretch from base 1 to 122 matches the Rfam family "5.8S ribosomal RNA", at positions 35 to 154 of the family's 154-position model. The record is from RNAcentral.
GAUGAAGAACGCAGCGAAAUGCGAUACUUGGUGUGAAUUGCAGAAUCCCGUGAACCAUCGAGUCUUUGAACGCAAGUUGCGCCCGAAGCCACUAGGCCGAGGGCACGCCUGCCUGGGCGUCACACGCCGUUGCCCCCCCAUCUACUCCUUCGGGAUUGCGGGGGGGGCGGAUGAUGGCCUCCUGUGCGCCUAGCCGCGCGGUUGGCAUAAAUACCAAGUCCUCGGCGACGCACGCCACGACAAUCGGUGGUUGCGAAACCUCGGUUGCCCGUCGUGUGCGUUCGUCGCGCAUCGAGGGCUCGAAAAAAUGCUCGGCUCCGGCUGGGCUUUCAACGCGACCCCAGGUCAGGCGGGGUUACCCGCUGAAUUUAAGCAUAUCAAUAAGCGGAGGA